GAUAUCUUUCUCUUUGGUUCAUACUAAACAAUAAAUCAAGUCUGUUAUAUAUCUCACAUGUUUCUCUUUUUUUUUUUCUUCUCACUUCUUAAUCUCUUCCUACUUUGUUAUCACGCCCAAAAUUAGCUUGAGAAAUUCCUGCUUACAAUGUACGGAAUUUUGUUGAAUAAAAAAAAAAUUGUGCGUAAUUUAGUGAAUAUUUAUUUGUUUAAUUUUGAGAGUGUUUCUGAAAAAGGAGUUUGGUUUAGCGACUUUGAUGGUAAAGCGUAACGUGCUUAAACCUACCUACCCCACACACAAGACACAACACAGUGAAUAGUGAUAUCUAGUCUAUUUUUUGAAUGAGCAGUCUGAAGCUGAGCAUACAGUAAGACAGUGUAUUCGUUGGCAUUUAUUGUCUGAGGUCGCUCACUUUCUAUUCCUCACAGUUUGGCCUAUAUAAGUUAUAAAUUAUACUGUAACAGUACCAUAAAGUAAGUAACAGUAACAUUGCCAAAGGUCAAAAAGAAUGGCAUCACUGAUGUGAUGUCUUUUUCUCCCCGUACUUGCCUCUAGUACUCGGUGCCCCAAAUCAGCUGUUGUAUUGUAUGAUAUGAUGUAUAUCUGUUUCCAAAUUGAGUUUCAUCUCUAAAUCAUCUACGCACAACCACAAAUGUGAAUAAUAUAAUACAUACAUUCAUGCACCAUCAUCAUCUUUACGCUUUCGAUAAAAACAAAAAUAAAUGUAGUAAAUCCAAACAGUCUUAAAAUUUUGUAAAUACUAGUAGUAGUACUAGAGAGGCUACUGUUAUAUAUAAUCGUUUUUCUUUUACGUGACACAAGAACAAAGAACCAUUAAUUACCCUAUAUGUGGAGGCACAUGCUCUAUACUAUACUCUGUAGUUUUCAUGUUCAUGACUAUAUAUAUAUAUGCAAUUUUCCGUUGAACUAGAACACUCUCUUUCUGUGAAAACUGAUUGAUUACUUUUUCCAUGGCGGUGCUCUGCUCCCAUUACAAUAUCAGAAUAACAUUAAGUCAUGUUAAGAGCCCCAAAUCUAUCUCUUCUCUCCCAGGGGAUGGAUGAUACUCCAAUACAAUGUAAGGAAUCUUCAUAAUAUGUUUUGCUAUUAUGGUUUGUGUUAAAAAUAAAAUGACCACUAGACAUUGGAAAUGAUUUGGUCUCUUAUCAAUUGUAAAUGAAAAAUGCUUGCU
This is a non-coding RNA of Cicer arietinum (chickpea), 1192 nucleotides long. The record is from RefSeq and is a predicted model, not a curated record. Lineage: Eukaryota; Viridiplantae; Streptophyta; Magnoliopsida; Fabales; Fabaceae.